CUUGCCCACUCCACUGCAGGAGGAAGACGUGGCUGAGGGGCAGAAAGAUCCAGAAAGACCAUCUAGGACUGGCCUGUGGUCACCCUGGUAGCCACGUGGAGCCUGCGGGAGUUCUGAGCCUGUGAGCCACAGUGCACUCGAAACUGGACUAAGCCAGAGGCAAAACCCUCCGGCCCCUCCAGGGGCGGGACAGUCAUUUAAAUGAGGCUCUGGCCUUUCCUUACACACCCCUGGACACAGGGAGCUCAUCACCUUAGGCAUUCUGGAACAAUUCUGACAACACUUCCUUCUGCAGAAAGCAGG
Molecule: non-coding RNA, 303 nt
Organism: Microcebus murinus (gray mouse lemur)
Lineage: Eukaryota; Metazoa; Chordata; Mammalia; Primates; Cheirogaleidae
Source: RefSeq, a predicted model, not a curated record